CCUACGGGUGGCUGCAGUGGGGAAUAUUGCACAAUGGGGGAAACCCUGAUGCAGCGACGCCGCGUGAGUGAAGAAGUAUCUCGGUACGUAAAGCUCUAUCAGCAGGGAAGAAAAUGACGGUACCUGACUAAGAAGCACCGGCUAACUACGUGCCAGCAGCCGCGGUAAUACGUCGGGGGCAAGCGUUAUCCGGAUUUGCUGGGUGGAAAGGGAGCGUAGACGGCGAUGCAAGUCCGGAGUGAAAGCCUAGGGCUGAACCAUGGUACUGCUCUGGAAACUGUAGAGCUUGAGUGCGGGAGGGGCAGGCGGAAUUCCUAGUGUAGCGGUGAAAUGCGUAGAUAUUAGGAGGAACACUCGUGGCGAAGGCGGGUUCCUGGACAUUAACUGACGCUGAGGCACGAAGGCGAGGGGAGCGAAAGGGAUUAGAUACCCCAGUAGUC
This 440-nucleotide ribosomal RNA is filed under the name uncultured bacterium. Its description in RNAcentral is "partial 16S ribosomal RNA". It matches the Rfam family "Bacterial small subunit ribosomal RNA", at positions 338 to 795 of the family's 1533-position model. The record is from RNAcentral.